Molecule: ribosomal RNA, 556 nt
Filed under: Kodamaea ohmeri
Lineage: Eukaryota; Fungi; Ascomycota; Pichiomycetes; Serinales; Debaryomycetaceae
Description: partial large subunit ribosomal RNA
Rfam family: Eukaryotic large subunit ribosomal RNA
Source: RNAcentral
UUUUCAUAUUUUAAAUUAGCUGAGGAAAAGGAAACCAACAGGGAUUGCCUCAGUAACGGCGAGUGAAGCGGCAAAAGCUCAAAUUUGAAAUCCCCCCGGGGAGUUGUAAUUUGAAGAUUGCGUCUUGGAGGCGACCGUGUCUAUGUUCCUUGGAACAGGACGUCACAGAGGGUGAGAAUCCCGUGCGGCACGGCCCCCGGCUCCUUAUAAGGCGCUCUCGACGAGUCGAGUUGUUUGGGAAUGCAGCUCAAAGUGGGUGGUAAAUUCCAUCUAAAGCUAAAUACAGGCGAGAGACCGAUAGCGAACAAGUACAGUGAUGGAAAGAUGAAAAGCACUUUGAAAAGAGAGUGAAACAGCACGUGAAAUUGUUGAAAGGGAAGGGCAUGCCGUCAGAUUGUCAGUGUGGGUAAGAAGCGGGGUACAAAGACUGUGGAACGUGGCCCUCGGGUGUUAUAGCCGCAGUUCAUGCCCCGUCUCUUUCCGAGGCCUGCUUUGAGGACACCGACGUAAUGACGGUACGCCGCCCGUCUUGAACCACGGACCAAAAUAAUUUUUU